UAAUAUGUUAGUGAUGAAUGUAACAAAACAUGAGAUUUAAUUUUCUUACAUGUGGAGAACAGUAGAAGACCGAUGAACACCAAAGUUGCUUU
This 92-nucleotide small nucleolar RNA is filed under the name Brassica rapa (field mustard). Its description in RNAcentral is "Small nucleolar RNA R20". It matches the Rfam family "Small nucleolar RNA R20". From Rfam's summary of the family: snoR20 is a member of the C/D class of snoRNA which contain the C (UGAUGA) and D (CUGA) box motifs. Most of the members of the box C/D family function in directing site-specific 2'-O-methylation of substrate RNAs. Lineage: Eukaryota; Viridiplantae; Streptophyta; Magnoliopsida; Brassicales; Brassicaceae. The record is from Rfam by way of RNAcentral.